AAUCCCAAACCCUAAAGCCUAAAGAGCUUUGUCGUUCUAGAGAUAAUGGUUGAUUUCUUUUAUUUUUCAAUUGUGGAAAAUUUUUGGCGGUUGUUAGAAAAUUUAGGCGGGAACAUUUUUUCCGGGAAUUUUUAGAAAGAAAACCGUAAACCGUAAACCCUAAUUCCUAAACCCAAACCCUAAACCCUAAAUCCCAAACCCUAAACCCUAAAGAGCUUUGCUAUUUGAUGGUUGAUAGCUUGCUUGAGCUAGCGUCCAUCCUCCACCACCGUGAUUGAUGUUCUCUUCGCCUGAUCGAAGGAAUAGUUGCGAGGUUUCUUUUUGCUAGGUCGAGAAGAAGAAGCUAUUGGAUCUCUAGUUGUGGCGGAUCUACCUUUUCCAAAAGGAGAGUUCCGGGUUAGUAUGAUCUCAGUGAUGGUUUGCGGUGGGGUGGGGUUCGCGAGCUCCAACCUAAGUAUUGAUGGCAUGUCUUAGUAGGUGGUUUAUUUAUUGGAAGCAAAACCCUAAACCCUAAACCCUAAACCCUAAACCUUAAACCCUAAACCCUAAAGAGCUUUGUCGUUCUAGUGCGAUUUGUUGAUUUCUCUUUGUUUUUAAUUAUAUGUCAAUUUUUGUGUCAAACUUUCUUGUACUAUUUCUGUCAAAAAAAAUUGGUGGGAAAUUAUUUCUUGGAAUUUUUUUUGGCGAGAAACUUUUUGUCGGAAAAUUUUGAAGGGAAAAUUUUUUAGUGGAAUUUUUUUGGAAGGAAAACCGUAAACCGUAAACCCUAAACCCUAAACCC
RNAcentral lists this long non-coding RNA (781 nucleotides) under Capsella rubella. Its description in RNAcentral is "long non-coding RNA (CRUB_LNC000046)". The record is from RNAcentral. Lineage: Eukaryota; Viridiplantae; Streptophyta; Magnoliopsida; Brassicales; Brassicaceae.